GUAUUUUUACUAAUGGGAAAAUAUUCUGCAAUAUUAAUUUUAGGUCAUUUUCUUCUUUACUUUAACUUACAGCUACUUUGUUAUACUCCCUGUGCGUACCUCUGUGUCUAGAAGAGAAAGAAGAAGAAGGAACAAACAACCUGGACUUCUCACACAUUUUUCCUACCCUACACUAGGCAACAUUAGCCUGUUCUGUAUUUAAACCAAGAUACGGAACAGGGUAUGCAUAGCUCCAAGGAGAUGCCAGUCCUUGGCCUUCUGAUGGCAUUCAUUAACUACCACAUGAGCCCUUUUUUGGCUUGAAAACCAAGGUGAAGAAACCAGAGUACCAUGGAAGCAAAGAGCAGAGCUGAGGACCUAGGUGCAAGUCAAGGGCACUCAGCGACUGUGUUUCAGAAUAUCCCUGUGUGAGUCAUCAGGGGUGUCACAGACAGUGCGGCAGGGGUGGGAGACACAGCGCCACACCACCAUCUGCAGCAGCCUGAGAAAUUCUGUUAGGAGAUUUCCACUCAAGUGAAGCUGGGUUUCUCAACCUUACCACCGGAAAGAAUUUCUGGGUCCUCAUGUCGUGGUGACUCUUCAGUUGGAAGCUCUGCCUCAGCCCACUCCUCCCUCUCCAAACCCUGACUGCUCAGAAAGACCAUCAAAAGUCCAGGCUCCUCCCCCCAAAGCUCAAGACCACUCCUGCAGAGUAUUUAGGCUCCCGGUCCCUAGAUCUGCCAUCUCAAUUCUGGGGGGUUGAAAAGGUCACCUGAGAAUG
Molecule: long non-coding RNA, 760 nt
Organism: Alexandromys fortis (reed vole)
Lineage: Eukaryota; Metazoa; Chordata; Mammalia; Rodentia; Cricetidae
Exons: 3
Source: RefSeq, a predicted model, not a curated record